UACGGAGGAUGCGAGCGUUAUCCGGAUUUAUUGGGUUUAAAGGGUGCGUAGGCGGAUCGUUAAGUCAGUGGUCAAAUUGAGGGGCUCAACCCCUUCCCGCCAUUGAAACUGGCGAUCUUGAGUGGAAGAGAAGUAUGCGGAAUGCGUGGUGUAGCGGUGAAAUGCAUAGAUAUCACGCAGAACCCCGAUUGCGAAGGCAGCCUUCCGGCGCCCUACUGACGCUGAGGCACGAAAGUGCGGGGAUCGAACAGG
RNAcentral lists this ribosomal RNA (252 nucleotides) under uncultured bacterium. Its description in RNAcentral is "partial 16S ribosomal RNA". It matches the Rfam family "Bacterial small subunit ribosomal RNA", at positions 524 to 776 of the family's 1533-position model. The record is from RNAcentral.